CCUACGGGACGCACCAGUGGGGAAUAUUGCACAAUGGGCGCAAGCCUGAUGCAGCCAUGCCGCGUGUAUGAAGAAGGCCUUCGGGUUGUAAAGUACUUUCAGCGGGGAGGAAGGCGAUAAGGUUAAUAACCUUGUCGAUCGACGUUACCCGCAGAAGAAGCACCGGCUAACUCCGUGCCAGCAGCCGCGGUAAUACGGAGGGUGCAAGCGUUAAUCGGAAUUACUGGGCGUAAAGCGCGCGCAGGCGGUCUGUCAAGUCGGAUGUGAAAUCCCCGGGCUCAACCUGGGAACUGCAUUCGAAACUGGCAGGCUAGAGUCUUGUAGAGGGGGGUAGAAUUCCAUGUGUAGCGGUGAAAUGCGUAGAGAUGUGGAGGAAUACCGGUGGCGAAGGCGGCCCCCUGGACAAAGACUGACGCUCAGGUGCGAAAGCGUGGGGAGCAAACAGGAUUAGAUACCCCAGUAGUC
Molecule: ribosomal RNA, 465 nt
Filed under: uncultured bacterium
Lineage: Bacteria
Description: bacterial SSU rRNA
Rfam family: Bacterial small subunit ribosomal RNA
Source: RNAcentral